Molecule: ribosomal RNA, 549 nt
Filed under: uncultured Corynebacterium sp.
Lineage: Bacteria; Bacillati; Actinomycetota; Actinomycetes; Mycobacteriales; Corynebacteriaceae
Description: bacterial SSU rRNA
Rfam family: Bacterial small subunit ribosomal RNA
Source: RNAcentral
GUGCCGUAGCUAACGCAUUAAGCGCCCCGCCUGGGGAGUACGGCCGCAAGGCUAAAACUCAAAGGAAUUGACGGGGGCCCGCACAAGCGGCGGAGCAUGUGGAUUAAUUCGAUGCAACGCGAAGAACCUUACCUGGGCUUGACAUACACCGGACCGGGCCAGAGAUGGUCUUUCCCUUGUGGCUGGUGUACAGGUGGUGCAUGGUUGUCGUCAGCUCGUGUCGUGAGAUGUUGGGUUAAGUCCCGCAACGAGCGCAACCCUUGUCUUAUGUUGCCAGCAUUUGGUUGGGGACUCAUGAGAGACUGCCGGGGUUAACUCGGAGGAAGGUGGGGAUGACGUCAAAUCAUCAUGCCCCUUAUGUCCAGGGCUUCACACAUGCUACAAUGGUCGGUACAACGCGCAGCGAUACUGUGAGGUGGAGCUAAUCGCCUAAAGCCGGCCUUAGUUCGGAUUGGGGUCUGCAACUCGACCCCAUGAAGUCGGAGUCGCUAGUAAUCGCAGAUCAGCAACGCUGCGGUGAAUACGUUCCCGGGCCUUGUACACACCGCC